RNAcentral lists this transfer RNA (87 nucleotides) under Clostridiaceae bacterium. RNAcentral's name for it is "tRNA-Leu". It matches the Rfam family "tRNA". Rfam says of the family: Transfer RNA (tRNA) molecules are approximately 80 nucleotides in length. Their secondary structure includes four short double-helical elements and three loops (D, anti-codon, and T loops). The record is from RNAcentral. Lineage: Bacteria; Bacillati; Bacillota; Clostridia; Eubacteriales; Clostridiaceae.
GCGGGAAUGGCGGAAUUGGCAGACGCGCUAGUUUCAGGUAUUAGUGAUCGAACGGUCAUGCAGGUUCAAGUCCUGUUUCCCGCACCA